This 253-nucleotide ribosomal RNA is filed under the name uncultured bacterium. RNAcentral describes it as "partial 16S ribosomal RNA". It matches the Rfam family "Bacterial small subunit ribosomal RNA", at positions 524 to 776 of the family's 1533-position model. The record is from RNAcentral.
AACGUAGGAGGCGAGCGUUAUCCGGAAUCACUGGGCGUAAAGGGCGUCUAGGCGGAGUGGUAAGCGAGGUGUGAAAGCUCCCGGCUCAACUGGGAGAGUGCGCUUCGGACUGCCAGUCUUGAGGGAAGCAGAAGGGGGUGGAAUUCCCGGUGGAGUGGUGAAAUGCGUAGAUAUCGGGAGGAACACCAGUGGCGAAAGCGGCCCCCUAGGCUUAACCUGACGCUGAAGCGCGAAAGCGUGGGGAGCAAACGGG